UGUGAGCUCGAUGAGUAGGGCGGGACACGUGGUAUCCUGUCUGAAUAUGGGGGGACCAUCCUCCAAGGCUAAAUACUCCUGACUGACCGAUAGUGAACCAGUACCGUGAGGGAAAGGCGAAAAGAACCCCGGCGAGGGGAGUGAAAAAGAACCUGAAACCGUGUACGUACAAGCAGUGGGAGCACGCUUAGGCGUGUGACUGCGUACCUUUUGUAUAAUGGGUCAGCGACUUAUAUUCUGUAGCAAGGUUAACCGAAUAGGGGAGCCGAAGGGAAACCGAGUCUUAACUGGGCGUUAAGUUGCAGGGUAUAGACCCGAAACCCGGUGAUCUAGCCAUGGGCAGGUUGAAGGUUGGGUAACACUAACUGGAGGACCGAACCGACUAAUGUUGAAAAAUUAGCGGAUGACUUGUGGCUGGGGGUGAAAGGCCAAUCAAACCGGGAGAUAGCUGGUUCUCCCCGAAAGCUAUUUAGGUAGCGCCUCGUGAAUUCAUCUCCGGGGGUAGAGCACUGUUUCGGCAAGGGGGUCAUCCCGACUUACCAACCCGAUGCAAACUGCGAAUACCGGAGAAUGUUAUCACGGGAGACACACGGCGGGUGCUAACGUCCGUCGUGAAGAGGGAAACAACCCAGACCGCCAGCUAAGGUCCCAAAGUCAUGGUUAAGUGGGAAACGAUGUGGGAAGGCCCAGACAGCCAGGAUGUUGGCUUAGAAGCAGCCAUCAUUUAAAGAAAGCGUAAUAGCUCACUGGUCGAGUCGGCCUGCGCGGAAGAUGUAACGGGGCUAAACCAUGCACCGAAGCUGCGGCAGCGACACUGUGUGUUGUUGGGUAGGGGAGCGUUCUGUAAGCCUGCGAAGGUGUGCUGUGAGGCAUGCUGGAGGUAUCAGAAGUGCGAAUGCUGACAUAAGUAACGAUAAAGCGGGUGAAAAGCCCGCUCGCCGGAAGACCAAGGGUUCCUGUCCAACGUUAAUCGGGGCAGGGUGAGUCGACCCCUAAGGCGAGGCCGAAAGGCGUAGUCGAUGGGAAACAGGUUAAUAUUCCUGUACUUGGUGUUACUGCGAAGGGGGGACGGAGAAGGCUAUGUUGGCCGGGCGACGGUUGUCCCGGUUUAAGCGUGUAGGCUGGUUUUCCAGGCAAAUCCGGAAAAUCAAGGCUGAGGCGUGAUGACGAGGCACUACGGUGCUGAAGCAACAAAUGCCCUGCUUCCAGGAAAAGCCUCUAAGCAUCAGGUAACAUCAAAUCGUACCCCAAACCGACACAGGUGGUCAGGUAGAGAAUACCAAGGCGCUUGAGAGAACUCGGGUGAAGGAACUAGGCAAAAUGGUGCCGUAACUUCGGGAGAAGGCACGCUGAUAUGUAGGUGAAGUCCCUCGCGGAUGGAGCUGAAAUCAGUCGAAGAUACCAGCUGGCUGCAACUGUUUAUUAAAAACACAGCACUGUGCAAACACGAAAGUGGACGUAUACGGUGUGACGCCUGCCCGGUGCCGGAAGGUUAAUUGAUGGGGUCAGCGCAAGCGAAGCUCUUGAUCGAAGCCCCGGUAAACGGCGGCCGUAACUAUAACGGUCCUAAGGUAGCGAAAUUCCUUGUCGGGUAAGUUCCGACCUGCACGAAUGGCGUAAUGAUGGCCAGGCUGUCUCCACCCGAGACUCAGUGAAAUUGAACUCGCUGUGAAGAUGCAGUGUACCCGCGGCAAGACGGAAAGACCCCGUGAACCUUUACUAUAGCUUGACACUGAACAUUGAGCCUUGAUGUGUAGGAUAGGUGGGAGGCUUUGAAGUGUGGACGCCAGUCUGCAUGGAGCCGACCUUGAAAUACCACCCUUUAAUGUUUGAUGUUCUAACGUGGACCCGUAAUCCGGGUUGCGGACAGUGUCUGGUGGGUAGUUUGACUGGGGCGGUCUCCUCCUAAAGAGUAACGGAGGAGCACGAAGGUUGGCUAAUCCUGGUCGGACAUCAGGAGGUUAGUGCAAUGGCAUAAGCCAGCUUGACUGCGAGCGUGACGGCGCGAGCAGGUGCGAAAGCAGGUCAUAGUGAUCCGGUGGUUCUGAAUGGAAGGGCCAUCGCUCAACGGAUAAAAGGUACUCCGGGGAUAACAGGCUGAUACCGCCCAAGAGUUCAUAUCGACGGCGGUGUUUGGCACCUCGAUGUCGGCUCAUCACAUCCUGGGGCUGAAGUAGGUCCCAAGGGUAUGGCUGUUCGCCAUUUAAAGUGGUACGCGAGCUGGGUUUAGAACGUCGUGAGACAGUUCGGUCCCUAUCUGCCGUGGGCGCUGGAGAACUGAGGGGGGCUGCUCCUAGUACGAGAGGACCGGAGUGGACGCAUCACUGGUGUUCGGGUUGUCAUGCCAAUGGCACUGCCCGGUAGCUAAAUGCGGAAGAGAUAAGUGCUGAAAGCAUCUAAGCACGAAACUUGCCCCGAGAUGAGUUCUCCCUGACUCCUUGAGAGUCCUGAAGGAACGUUGAAGACGACGACGUUGAUAGGCCGGGUGUGUAAGCGCAGCGAUGCGUUGAGCUAACCGGUACUAAUGAACCGUGAGGCUUAACCUUACAACGCCGAAGGUGUUU
This 2564-nucleotide ribosomal RNA is filed under the name Escherichia coli. Its description in RNAcentral is "partial 23S ribosomal RNA". It matches the Rfam family "Bacterial large subunit ribosomal RNA", at positions 398 to 2925 of the family's 2925-position model. The record is from RNAcentral. Lineage: Bacteria; Pseudomonadati; Pseudomonadota; Gammaproteobacteria; Enterobacterales; Enterobacteriaceae.